RNAcentral lists this unclassified non-coding RNA (309 nucleotides) under plant metagenome. RNAcentral's name for it is "partial contains 5.8S ribosomal RNA, internal transcribed spacer 2, and large subunit ribosomal RNA". The stretch from base 1 to 105 matches the Rfam family "5.8S ribosomal RNA", at positions 50 to 154 of the family's 154-position model. The record is from RNAcentral.
GAAAUGCGAUAAGUAAUGUGAAUUGCAGAAUUCAGUGAAUCAUCGAAUCUUUGAACGCACAUUGCGCCCGCCAGUAUUCUGGCGGGCAUGCCUGUUCGAGCGUCAUUUCAACCAUCAAGCCCCCGGGCUUGUGUUGGGGACCUGCGGCUGUCGCAGGCCCCGAAAACCAGUGGCGGGCUCGCUGUCACACCGGGCGUAGUAGAUUUUUCGUCUCGCCCAGGGCGUGCUGCGGGUUCCGGCCGUUAAAAAGCCUCUCUUUUAACCCAAGGUUGACCUCGGAUCAGGUAGGAAGACCCGCUGAACUUAAGC